This 468-nucleotide ribosomal RNA is filed under the name uncultured bacterium. RNAcentral describes it as "partial 16S ribosomal RNA". It matches the Rfam family "Bacterial small subunit ribosomal RNA", at positions 28 to 507 of the family's 1533-position model. The record is from RNAcentral.
GACGAACGCUGGCGGCGUGCUUAACACAUGCAAGUCGAACGGAAAGGCCCUGCUUUUGUGGGGUGCUCGAGUGGCGAACGGGUGAGUAACACGUGAGUAACCUGACCUUGAAUUUGGGAUAACUUCAGGAAACUGCGGCUAAUACCGGAUAGGAGCACAUGCUUGAUGGUGGGGGUUGGAAAGUUUCGGUGUGUGGGGAUGGACUCGCGGCUUAUCAGCUUGUUGGUUGGGUAGUGGCUUACCAAGGCUUUGACGGGUAGCCGGCCUGAGCGGGUGACCGGCCACAUUGGGACUACGAUACGGCCCAAACUCCUACGGGAGGCAGCAGUGGGGAAUAUUGCACAAUGGGCGGAAGCCUUAUGCAGCAACGCCGCGUGCGGGAUGACGGCCUUCGGGUUGUAAACCUCUUUCGCCUGUGACGAAGCGUUAGUGACGGUAAUGGGUAAAGAAGCUCCGGCUAACUACGUG